GCCAUUUGAACUUAGGAUUUAAUUAGGAGAUGGGUCUGCAUUCCUUCUACCAUUUUCUGAUUAUCCUUGCAUUAAUCGCAUCCUUUUUGUUCAUGCUGUCGACUCAAGUUAGUGCAGGUCUGUCUUGAUGAUGAUUUUGCAUUUUUUAUAUUUAUAAUCAAUAAAAUUGUGAAGAUUCAAAGCACAAAAGCAAUUCAAAGCAGAAUAUAUUUACAUUUAAACUGCAUGCAUGCAUGUACCCAAUUCUUGUGUUCCUAGAAUACAUGCAUCUUAGCAGGUUCAAUUGAUUUACUCAUUCAUUCGCACAUUAGACGUUCGAUCCCUAUGACACACACACACACAUAUAUAACUACGAGUUUUCAUAUAUAGUUCCGUUGUGAAAAGAUCAUGACUGGCUAGCAACGACAUAUUUUAGUUAUGUUAAAACUAAAACACAUCUAUAUAUCAUUUGAUGUGAAAUACUAAAGCUAUUAAUGCAUCUAAUUUAUUAAUUUCCUGAGAAACACUAGUCAAUGAGGACUUCGGGAGACGUGUCUCUCUUGUAGUACGUAGUGUCUAAUUUCUCAUUAUGCAUGCAAUAUUAGUCGAUCACCUGCAAGUUUUUUCAUGCCAUCAAGGCAAGUUAACUAAUGCAGCUUUUUCUGGGCAUAUGGAAAUUAAGUUCAGUAACUAAUGAAACGUACAUGUAUUUGAUGAAUUUUAAAUAUGUAAGAGUAAUAAAUUAAUUAAUGACUAUAUAAUUAUUUUUGGGAGACAGAUUCGGAGAUUCGGAGAAAGCUUGGGAUCCACCCAAUGCCCACUACUCCAGCUUAAACCCCCCAGAACCGAACCGGGCGGUUAUACUAAUUAUACGUGGUAAGUAGGCACGUAC
Molecule: long non-coding RNA, 871 nt
Filed under: Glycine max (soybean)
Lineage: Eukaryota; Viridiplantae; Streptophyta; Magnoliopsida; Fabales; Fabaceae
Description: long non-coding RNA (GMAX_LNC001651)
Source: RNAcentral